GGUUGAUCCUGCCAGUAGUCAUAUGCUUGUCUCAAAGAUUAAGCCAUGCAUGUCUAAGUAUAAACAACUUUGUACUGUGAAACUGCGAAUGGCUCAUUAAAUCAGUUAUAGUUUAUUUGAUUAUCAUUUACUACUUGGAUAACCGUGGUAAUUCUAGAGCUAAUACAUGCUAAAAAUCGCGACUUCUGGAAGCGAUGUAUUUAUUAGAUAAAAAACCAAUGCGGGCAACCGCUUAAGAGUUGAUUCAUGAUAACUGUUCGAAUCGCAUGGCCUUGUGCUGGCGAUGUUUCAUU
This 293-nucleotide ribosomal RNA is filed under the name uncultured eukaryote. RNAcentral's name for it is "partial 18S ribosomal RNA". It matches the Rfam family "Eukaryotic small subunit ribosomal RNA", at positions 6 to 299 of the family's 1831-position model. The record is from RNAcentral.